AUACGGAGGAUCCGAGCGUUAUCCGGAUUUAUUGGGUUUAAAGGGUGCGCAGGCGGCCAUUUAAGUCAGCGGUUAAAUCGUGGGGCUCAACCCCAUUUUGCCGUUGAUACUGGGUGGCUUGAUUGCGGUCGAGGUUGGCGGAAUUCGUUGUGUAGCGGUGAAAUGCAUAGAUAUGACGAAGAACACCGAUUGCGUAGGCAGCUGACCAGACCGCAAAUGACGCUCAUGCACGAAAGUGCGGGGAUCGAACAGGAUUAGAUACCCUGGUAGUCCGCACAGUAAACGAUGAAUACUUGUUUUCGGCGAUAUAAUGUCGGAGGCAAAGCGAAAGCGAUAAGUAUUCCACCUGGGGAGUACGCCGGCAACGGUGAAACUCAAAGGAAUUGACGGG
This 391-nucleotide ribosomal RNA is filed under the name uncultured bacterium. RNAcentral describes it as "partial 16S ribosomal RNA". It matches the Rfam family "Bacterial small subunit ribosomal RNA", at positions 523 to 917 of the family's 1533-position model. The record is from RNAcentral.